GAUGAACGCUGACAGAAUGCUUAACACAUGCAAGUCUUUGGCGAAGCUGUGCUUGCACAGCCUAGCCAAGGCGGACGGGUGAGUAACGCGUAAGGAACUUGCCCUGCAGUCAGGGAUAACAGACGGAAACGACUGAUAAGACCUGGUAAAGUCAGGCGGACUCAUGUCCAGCCUGAUGAAAAGUGAUGCUGCAGGAGAGCCUUGCGUCCUAUUAGCUUGUUGGUGGGGUAACGGCCCACCAAGGCGAUGAUAGGUAGCCGGCCUGAGAGGGUGGACGGCCACAAGGGGACUGAGAUACGGCCCUUACUCCUACGGGAGGCAGCAGUGGGGAAUAUUGGACAAUGGGGGCAAUCCUGAUCCAGCAAUUCUGUGUGCACGAUGAAGGUUUUCGGAUUGUAAAGUGCUUUCAGCAGGGAAGAAAAAAAUGACGGUACCUGCAGAAGAAGCGACGGCUAAAUACGUG
Molecule: ribosomal RNA, 463 nt
Filed under: uncultured bacterium
Lineage: Bacteria
Description: partial 16S ribosomal RNA
Rfam family: Bacterial small subunit ribosomal RNA
Source: RNAcentral